GUUAGAGAAUAAGAGUACCGAGCGUGACCAACGUGAGAAGUCACUUCGAUGUCUACUCAUCGUCAGUGACUUACUCAAUAUUGCAGUACUGUGACCGGUCCUUUGGCCAAACACUUGAUCCCUAGUCAUUCAAAUCCUUGCGGUGCAUGUUGGCUAAAGUAGGUAUGUUGUAGUAGUGUAUGCAUCUGUAUGGAAUAUAUAUCUCUUGGUAGAUAGGGGCGUUAGUAUUAUGUGAUUUAUGAGACCGAGUUUAAAAGAUCUUGGCUAAGACAGAGUUAAUAGCGGAAAAAAUUUUCAAUAUUAGAAACUCGAGUCGAAUAAAUUUAACAUAUCUGAUUGUAACAUACCGGAUUUUGAUAUAAAAGUAAAAAAUAAAUAAAAAUAAUGUGAGAUACUAUUUUUAUUAUUGGACUUAUAAAAGCAAAAUGUAAGUUUGAAAUGACCUGUGCUGAAAUCGAAAUAAAAACAGAAAAUUUAGAAUUUUCUGUGAGAGACGGGGCUGACAUUUUAGCAGAAAAUGCACAGUGUCAGAAAAUUAUGAAAACUGGAGAAUAUGUCAAAAUUAUUUUUAUGAGGCUAGAUUUAGAGUUUCAUACCAUUCUGACACCCGAAAGGUGGAAAAUAAAAUCCGACAGUUAUCUGAUAAAGAUUACAGUUCGGUACAGCUUUCGGUGACCAAACGGGGUCGAAACUGAAAGAUUAAAAUUUCUUUC
Molecule: long non-coding RNA, 713 nt
Filed under: Ananas comosus (pineapple)
Lineage: Eukaryota; Viridiplantae; Streptophyta; Magnoliopsida; Poales; Bromeliaceae
Description: long non-coding RNA (ACOM_LNC030354)
Source: RNAcentral